RNAcentral lists this ribosomal RNA (497 nucleotides) under uncultured bacterium. RNAcentral describes it as "partial 16S ribosomal RNA". It matches the Rfam family "Bacterial small subunit ribosomal RNA", at positions 28 to 507 of the family's 1533-position model. The record is from RNAcentral.
GAUGAACGCUGGCGGCGUGCCUAAUACAUGCAAGUAGAACGCUGAAGCUUGGUGCUUGCACCGAGCGGAUGAGUUGCGAACGGGUGAGUAACGCGUAGGUAACCUGCCUGGUAGCGGGGGAUAACUAUUGGAAACGAUAGCUAAUACCGCAUAACAGUAGAUAUUGCAUGAUAUCUGCUUGAAAGGUGCAAAUGCAUCACUACCAGAUGGACCUGCGUUGUAUUAGCUAGUUGGUGAGGUAACGGCUCACCAAGGCGACGAUACAUAGCCGAACUGAGAGGGUGAUCGGCCACACUGGGACUGAGACACGGCCCAGACUCCUACGGGAGGCAGCAGUAGGGAAUCUUCGGCAAUGGGGGGAACCCUGACCGAGCAACGCCGCGUGAGUGAAGAAGGUUUUCGGAUCGUAAAGCUCUGUUGUAAGAGAAGAACGAGUGUGAGAGUGGAAAGUUCACACUGUGACGGUAUCUUACCAGAAAGGGACGGCUAACUACGUG